AUCGGUAAUUUAAAAUGUAUAAUAUUGAUGUAUUUUUACACUCGGUAUUUUGUUUGAAUUAUAUAAUUAAAACGUAAAUCUAAAACUCUAAUCAAAUAACAAUCUUUUUUUUUUAGAACCUUUAAAUUUGUUAAGUAGAUAGAAAUAUAUUAUUUAGUGUAAAUAAUCGAAACGUGUAUACCUACCUAUCGAAUAAAUUAGAUAAAAAUCAUUGACACGAUAGUCUUUAAUAUUAAAGUAGGUACUCGAAAUACCAGUAUUGAUCGGGUUCAGAUUAAGACAUGCAAUGGAUAAAAUAAAUGUUGAAAAAGCAAAAAUAGGUUAGUAUAUUAUGAGGUCUAAAACUUUUGUCAUACCGAGAUAACUCUUGCGUUGUAAAUAUCAUAAAUUAAAA
Cinara cedri is the source of this 394-nucleotide non-coding RNA. NCBI's taxonomy places the organism in Eukaryota, Metazoa, Arthropoda, Insecta, Hemiptera, Aphididae. The record is from the annotation of a GenBank genome assembly.